RNAcentral lists this ribosomal RNA (259 nucleotides) under Campylobacter jejuni. Its description in RNAcentral is "partial 23S ribosomal RNA". It matches the Rfam family "Bacterial large subunit ribosomal RNA", at positions 772 to 1030 of the family's 2925-position model. Lineage: Bacteria; Pseudomonadati; Campylobacterota; Epsilonproteobacteria; Campylobacterales; Campylobacteraceae. The record is from RNAcentral.
GACUGAACCCAUAGGCGUUGAAAAGCCCCGGGAUGACUUGUGGAUAGGGGUGAAAGGCCAAUCAAACUUCGUGAUAGCUGGUUCUCUCCGAAAUAUAUUUAGGUAUAGCGUUGUGUCGUAAUAUAAGGGGGUAGAGCACUGAAUGGGCUAGGGCAUACACCAAUGUACCAAACCCUAUCAAACUCCGAAUACCUUAUAUGUAAUCACAGCAGUCAGGCGGCGAGUGAUAAAAUCCGUCGUCAAGAGGGAAACAACCCAG